ACCUGGCUGGCUCAGUCGGUGGAGCAUGUGGCUCUUGAUCUCAGGGUUGUGAGUUUGAGUCCCAUGUUGGGUG
Non-coding RNA from Ailuropoda melanoleuca (giant panda), 73 nucleotides. The record is from Rfam. Lineage: Eukaryota; Metazoa; Chordata; Mammalia; Carnivora; Ursidae.